Molecule: ribosomal RNA, 1388 nt
Filed under: uncultured bacterium
Lineage: Bacteria
Description: bacterial SSU rRNA
Rfam family: Bacterial small subunit ribosomal RNA
Source: RNAcentral
UUAGAGUUUGAUCCUGGCUCAGGAUGAACGCUAGCUACGGGCUUAACACAUGCAAGUCGAACGGAUUCUGGAUUCGUCUGGAAUUAGUGGCAAACGGGUGAGUAACACGUAUCCAACCACCCUGCGACUCGGGGAUAGCCUCUUGAAAGGGAGAUUAAUAUCCGAUGUACUGUUUUUGGUGCAUGCCAUUUUCAGUAAAGUUUUUUUUACGGUCGCUGACGGGGAUGCGUUCCAUUAGAUAGUCGGUGUGGUAACGGCUCACCGAGUCUAUGAUGGAUAGGGGUUCUGAGAGGAAGGUCCCCCACAUUGGAACUGCGACACGGUCCAAACUCCUACGGGAGGCAGCAGUGAGGAAUAUUGGUCAAUGGGCGAAAGCCUGAACCAGCUAUGUAGCGUGAAGGAUGACUGCCCUAUGGGUUGUAAACUUCUUUUGUUCGGGAAUAACAGACUUCACUUGUGGAGUUUUGCAUGUACCGUUCAAAUAAGGAUCGGCUAACUCCGUGCCAGCAGCCGCGGUAAUACGGAGGAUCCGAGCGUUAUCCGGAUUUAUUGGGUUUAAAGGGUGCGUAGGCGGAAAUGUAAGUCGGUGGUGAAAUCCUGCAGCUUAACUGUAGAAUAGCCGUUGAAACUGUGUUUCUUGAGUACAUUUGAGGUAGGCGGAAUGUGGUGUGUAGCGGUGAAAUGCAUAGAUAUACCACAGGAACACCCGAUGUCGAAGGCAGCUUACUAAACUGUCACUGACGCUGAUGCACGAAAGCGUGGGUAUCAAACAGGAUUAGAUACCCUGGUAGUCCACGCUGUAAACGAUGAUUACUGGUUGUUUGCGAUACACUGCAAGUGACUGAGCGAAAGCAUUAAGUAAUCCACCUGGGGAGUACGUCGGCAACGAUGAAACUCAAAGGAAUUGACGGGGGCCCGCACAAGCGGAGGAACAUGUGGUUUAAUUCGAUGAUACGCGAGGAACCUUACCUGGGUUUAAAUGGGGAGUGACAGGCUUGGAAACAGGCCCUUCUUCGGACACUCUUCAAGGUGCUGCAUGGUUGUCGUCAGCUCGUGCCGUGAGGUGUCGGGUUAAGUCCCAUAACGAGCGCAACCCCUAUCGAUAGUUACCAGCACGUUACGGUGGGGACUCUAUCGAGACUGCCGGUGUAAACCGUGAGGAGGGUGGGGAUGACGUCAAAUCGGCACGGCCCUUACAUCCAGGGCUACACACGUGUUACAAUGGCCGGUACAAAGGGCAGCUACACAGCGAUGUGAUGCUAAUCUCCAAAUCCGGUCUCAGUUCGGAUCGAAGUCUGCAACCCGACUUCGUGAAGCUGGAUUCGCUAGUAAUCGCGCAUCAGCCAUGGCGCGGUGAAUACGUUCCCGGGCCUUGUACACACCGCCCG